CAAAAAGUAGCUUAAUAAAAGCAUUCAACUUACAAUUGAAAAACGUUAGAAUAAACUAGCCUUUUUGC
RNAcentral lists this transfer RNA (68 nucleotides) under Tropidurus bogerti. RNAcentral's name for it is "tRNA-Val". It matches the Rfam family "tRNA". From Rfam's summary of the family: Transfer RNA (tRNA) molecules are approximately 80 nucleotides in length. Their secondary structure includes four short double-helical elements and three loops (D, anti-codon, and T loops). Further hydrogen bonds mediate the characteristic L-shaped molecular structure. tRNAs have two regions of fundamental functional importance: the anti-codon, which is responsible for specific mRNA codon recognition, and the 3' end, to which the tRNAs corresponding amino acid is attached (by aminoacyl-tRNA synthetases). tRNAs cope with the degeneracy of the genetic code in two manners: having more than one tRNA (with a specific anti-codon) for a particular amino acid; and 'wobble' base-pairing, i.e. permitting non-standard base-pairing at the 3rd anti-codon position. Lineage: Eukaryota; Metazoa; Chordata; Lepidosauria; Squamata; Tropiduridae. The record is from RNAcentral.